This 253-nucleotide ribosomal RNA is filed under the name uncultured bacterium. RNAcentral describes it as "partial 16S ribosomal RNA". It matches the Rfam family "Bacterial small subunit ribosomal RNA", at positions 524 to 776 of the family's 1533-position model. The record is from RNAcentral.
UACAGAGGUGGCAAGCGUUGGUCGGAAUUACUGGGCGGAAAGGGCGCGUAGGCGGUCUUGCAAGUCCCGUGUGAAAUCCCUCGGCUCAACUGAGGAACUGCACGGGAAACUGCUUGGCUUGAGUUCGGGAGAGGGAAGCGGAAUUCCGGGUGUAGCGGUGAAAUGCGUAGAUAUCCGGAGGAACCCCGGUGGCGAAGGCGGCUUCCUGGACCGACACUGACGCUGAGGCGCGAAAGCUAGGUGAGCAAACGGG